GACGAACCGUGCGAACGUUAUUCGGAAUCACUGGGCUUAAAGCGCGUGUAGGCGGCCCGGCACGUCCGUCGCUGAAAUCCCCCGGCUCAACCGGGGAAGUGGCGUGGAUACGACCGGGCUGGAGGGGGGUAGGGGGAGCCGGAACGUUCCGGUGGAGCGGUGAAAUGCGCAGAGAUCCGGAAGAACACCGGUGGCGAAGGCGGCCUGCUGGGCUAUGGCUGACACUGAGGCGCGACAGCGUGGGGAGCAAACAGG
This 255-nucleotide ribosomal RNA is filed under the name uncultured bacterium. RNAcentral's name for it is "partial 16S ribosomal RNA". It matches the Rfam family "Bacterial small subunit ribosomal RNA", at positions 524 to 776 of the family's 1533-position model. The record is from RNAcentral.